Long non-coding RNA from Mya arenaria, 178 nucleotides. RefSeq lists it as uncharacterized. The transcript is spliced from 3 exons. Lineage: Eukaryota; Metazoa; Mollusca; Bivalvia; Myida; Myidae. The record is from RefSeq and is a predicted model, not a curated record.
GUAAGCGUUGGCCUUACCAUUGGUGCGGCUUUUAUAGGAUUUGUGGCUGGAAUAAUCGUUUGUUUGAUUGGCUUAUGUAUUUUGAAACGACUAUUUGUGAAAAAUGAAAAUGAAAUGGUCGCCCCGGGUUUGUUUCCAACAAGAAACAUCACUGAAGGUGUUACUAAUGCAGCUGUAC